Molecule: transfer RNA, 71 nt
Filed under: Podarcis lilfordi (Lilford's wall lizard)
Lineage: Eukaryota; Metazoa; Chordata; Lepidosauria; Squamata; Lacertidae
Description: tRNA.Lys
Rfam family: tRNA (bases 6-63)
About the family: Transfer RNA (tRNA) molecules are approximately 80 nucleotides in length. Their secondary structure includes four short double-helical elements and three loops (D, anti-codon, and T loops).
Source: RNAcentral
GUAGAUAGCUCAGUCGGUAGAGCACGAGACUCUUAAUUUCAGGGUCGUGGGUUUGAGCCCCAUGUUGAGCA